CAACGCCGCGUGGGUGAAGAAGGCCUUCGGGUUGUAAAGCCCUUUUGAGGGGGAAGAUAAUGACGGUACCCUUCGAAUAAGCCUCGGCUAACUACGUGC
RNAcentral lists this ribosomal RNA (99 nucleotides) under uncultured bacterium. RNAcentral's name for it is "partial 16S ribosomal RNA". It matches the Rfam family "Bacterial small subunit ribosomal RNA", at positions 392 to 508 of the family's 1533-position model. The record is from RNAcentral.